UAGCUUUCUUGAUAAUUCAACAUAUAAAUUUUUCGUUUCAAUUAGACUUCAAUGUUAUAAUUUUUUGUCUUUUUAGUGUAGGACAAUCAUGCGCGUGUGUGUCAUACCUGGAUGCACAGCAAAUGCAAUACGUUUUUUUCGAUUUCCAAAUAAGGAUGACAAACGUUUGCGCAUUUGGUUGUCUUUGGCAGGGAACGAGGAUUUAUUAAAACUUGGAAUUGAUGAGAUAGGAAGAAGAACAAUUUGUCAAGUUCAUUUCGAAGACAAAUAUUUCCUCCCCAAGAAAUUGAGUACUAGUGCUAUUCCAACAAGGUAUUUGCCAGAAAGUAUCGAUGUAUCUAGUCUCUUUUUUGAAGAAAAAUCUCCCCCCACUGAACAAAUUAUCAACUUUGAUCCGUAAGACUGGCCCACAUCUGCGGAAGUUUCCGAAAAAGACAAAAUCCCAGGAAGCACUUGAUGCAGAUGUGUUUUCAAAGAAGCUGCAAAUUCCGAAUGAAUCCCCAACCAAUGGAAGCAAAAAUUGUGUGGGGAUGAUUUCGGAAAGCCUCAACAUAAUGAAGGAAAUGCACAUCCAUCAGCUGCUGUCAAGAGGAAAUCCAUAGAAGAGCAAGGACUCUCUGGACCAAGCAGGGGUAGACCUGAUAAAAAACACAGAAAAAUUAGAAAACGUGGCAUAUUACGCAAGGGAAGAGGUAAAAUCAAUGCUCAUGGCCUCUAUAUUGAAAAAAUCAUAAAUUCUCAGAUGCUUCAUAUGAAAGCUUCUGCAGAGAAAAACAAAUGUAUUAUGGAGGAGCCGACGAUAAAAAUUCGGUCUGCUUUACACUAUUUUAUGAGAAAUGGAAGAGGCCCUGUGCGAUUGACCAUAUCGAGCACAGGAAACAAAAUUUUUUCGCGUGAAUUUGGUGUACCUGCGUAUAUCACAUUGAAUUUUGUUUAUGACAUGAAUAUUGACUGGGUCUA
This is a long non-coding RNA of Diachasma alloeum, 960 nucleotides long. RefSeq lists it as uncharacterized. The record is from RefSeq and is a predicted model, not a curated record. The transcript has 4 exons. Lineage: Eukaryota; Metazoa; Arthropoda; Insecta; Hymenoptera; Braconidae.